Molecule: small nuclear RNA, 101 nt
Filed under: Nannospalax galili (Upper Galilee mountains blind mole rat)
Lineage: Eukaryota; Metazoa; Chordata; Mammalia; Rodentia; Spalacidae
Source: RNAcentral
GUGUUCACUUCAGCAGCAUAUACUAAAACCGAACGAUACAGAGAUUAGCAUGGUUCCUGCGCAAGGAUGAUACACAAAUUCAUGAAACAUUCCAUACUGUC